UGUGGUGAUGAUGGCAAGAAGGACCCACCUGUUCCCAUACCGAACACAGAAGUUAAGCUUCUUAGCGUCGAGGAUAGUGACGGGUUUCCCGUUGUGAAAGCCGGACGUUGCCACGC
Molecule: ribosomal RNA, 116 nt
Filed under: Dolosigranulum pigrum
Lineage: Bacteria; Bacillati; Bacillota; Bacilli; Lactobacillales; Carnobacteriaceae
Source: RNAcentral